GUCGAACGAGAUCCAUUCAGUAGCAAUACUGAUGAAGAUCUAGUGGCGAACGGGUGCGUAACACGUGAGGAACUUGUCCCGGUCUCUGGGAUAACAGUUGGAAACGACUGCUAAUACCGGAUGACGUCGGAACUUCGCAUGGAGUACUGACGAAAGGGUUACUGGAUCGGGAGAGCCUCGCGGCCUAUCAGCUUGUUGGUGGGGUAAUGGCCUACCAAGGCAUCGACGGGUAGCUGGUCUGAGAGGAUGAUCAGCCACACUGGGACUGAGACACGGCCCAGACUCCUACGGGAGGCAGCAGUGGGGAAUCUUGCACAAUGGGCGAAAGCCUGAUGCAGCAACGCCGCGUGCGGGAAGAAGGCCCUCGGGUUGUAAACCGCUUUCAGAAGGAACGAAACUGACGGUACUUUCAGAAGAAGGUGCGGCCAACUACGUGCCAGCAGCCGCG
RNAcentral lists this ribosomal RNA (448 nucleotides) under uncultured soil bacterium. RNAcentral's name for it is "bacterial SSU rRNA". It matches the Rfam family "Bacterial small subunit ribosomal RNA", at positions 61 to 519 of the family's 1533-position model. The record is from RNAcentral.